UACGUAGGGACCAAGCGUUGUUCGGAUUUACUGGGCGUAAAGGGCGCGUAGGCGGCAUGACAAGUCACUUGUGAAAUCUCCGGGCUUAACUCGGAACGGUCAGGUGAUACUGAUCUGCUAGAGUGCGGAAGGGGCAAUCGGAAUUCUUGGUGUAGCGGUGAAAUGCGUAGAUAUCAAGAGGAACACCUGAGGUGAAGACGGGUUGCUGGGCCGACACUGACGCUGACAGCGCGAAAGCCAGGGGAGCAAACGGG
RNAcentral lists this ribosomal RNA (254 nucleotides) under uncultured bacterium. RNAcentral describes it as "partial 16S ribosomal RNA". It matches the Rfam family "Bacterial small subunit ribosomal RNA", at positions 524 to 776 of the family's 1533-position model. The record is from RNAcentral.